CAAUUUUCAUACUUAGCCGGCGCUCUGCCACUCUACUGAAGCCUAACUGAUCGCCGCCGUUGACAACCCUAGCGCCGCCCCUUCACCACCGUCAAAUGGCGGAAUUUCUUGAUCUCGAAUCGCAGGACUCCAUUCGCAUGCCAUGGAAUGUUCUCCCGGGGACGAAAGCCGACGCCGCGAACUGCGUAAUCCCAGUCUCCGCCAUCUACACUCCGCUGAAACCCCUCCCUUCCGCCACCCCGCUCCUCCCGUACUCCCCGCUCCGAUGCCGAAAUUGCCGAUCCGUGAUCAAUCCGUUCUCGAUCGUCGAUUUUUCAUCCGCCAACAAGAUUUGGAUCUGCAGCUUCUGUCUCCAGCGCAAUCACUUCCCGCCGCACUACCAGUCGAUAGCCGAACAGAAUUUACCGGCGGAGCUCUUCCCGCAGUAUACUACGAUUGAGUACGACACCACUGCUAAUGAGAAGGCGCAGGCUGAGAUUGCUAAAGUGUUCUUAUUUGUUGUGGAUACUUGUGUUAUUGAGGAGGAAUUGGGGUUCUUGAAGUCCGCAUUGUUGCAGGUUUUGGGAAUGGUGCCGGAGAAUUGUUUGAUUGGGUUGAUUACUUUUGGGACUUAUGUGCAUGUCCACGAGCUCGGGUAUGGGCAGAUUCCAAAGGUUCAUGUGUUCAAGGGCACAAAGGAUGUGACUAAGGACCAGUUGCUGGAACAGAUGGGCUUCUUUGCCAAAAGACCAAGACCAGCAACUGGGGUCAUUGCAGGAGUGAGGGAUGGGUUGUCGCAAGAGAGCAUUUCUAGGUUCUUAUUGCCGGCGUCCGAUUGUGAGUUCGUUCUUAACUCGAUUUUAGAGGAACUUCAGAAAGAUCCUUGGCCAGUUCCAUCAGAUCACCGGUCUGCCAGGUGUACUGGUACAGCGUUAAAUUUGGCUGCUCAUUUGCUUGGAGCAUGUGUUCCAGGUUGUGGGGCUCGAAUAAUGGCAUUUUUAGGAGGACCAUCAACAGAAGGGGCUGGAGCUAUUGUGUCGAAAAAUCUGUCUGAACCCAUACGCUCUCACAAGGACCUGGACAAAGAUUCUGUCCCACAGUACCACAAAGCAGUGAAGUUUUAUGAAGGUCUUUCGAAACAACUUGUACAUCAGGGGCAUGUGCUAGAUGUUUUUGCUUGUGCACUUGAUCAGGUUGGAGUUGCUGAGCUUAAAGUAGCAGUUGAGAAGACUGGAGGACUCAUUGUUCUUGCUGAAAGUUUUGGCCAUUCAGUGUUCAAGGAUUCCUUAAGACGUGUGUUUCAGUCUGGUGAUCAGGAUCUCGGGCUGUCAUCAAAUGGUAUAUUCGAGAUCAACUGCUCAAAGGAUAUUAAAAUUCAGGGAGUAAUUGGCCCUUGUGCAUCACUUGAGAAGAAAGGUCCCUUGUGCUCUGAAACUGUUAUCGGCCAAGGAAAUACCACUGCAUGGAAGUUGUGUGGCCUGGACAAAACUACUUCUUUGUGUAUAAUAUUUGAUGUUAUCAAGAAAGAGAGUCCAGAUGUCAUUGCUCAAUCUGCCAACAACCAGUUUUACUUCCAGUUUUUGACUUAUUAUCAGCAUGGCAGUGGACAAAUGAGACUUCGUGCUACAACUGUCUCCAGAAGAUGGGUUACUGGACCUGGAAGCAAAGAGGACAUAAUAUCUGGAUUUGACCAAGAAGCUGCUGCUGUUGUGAUGGCACGCCAAGUUGCUUUUAAAAUGGAAACUGAGGCUGAAUUUGAUCCUAUAAGAUGGUUGGAUAAAUCAUUGAUACAUAUAUGCUCACAAUUUGGAGAAUAUCAGAAGGACAUCCCUUCUUCUUUCAGUUUAUCGCCUAGGCUAUCUAUAUUUCCUCAGUUUAUGUUCCAUCUUCGGCGUUCACAAUUUGUCCAGGUUUUCAAUAAUAGCCCGGACGAGACAGCAUACUUCCGUAUGAUCCUGAACAGGGAGAAUGUUGCUAAUUCAGUUGUCAUGAUUCAACCUUCCUUGAUCUCCUACUCUUUCCAGUCUGGACCAGAACCUGCUCUUCUUGAUGUAGCUGCCAUUGCUGCUGAUAGAAUUCUUCUUUUGGAUUCUUAUUUCACUGUUGUUGUCUUUCAUGGUGCAACGAUUGCUCAAUGGAGAAAGGCUGGGUAUCAUGAUCUGCCUGAACAUCAGGCCUUUGCCCACUUGCUAAAAGCUCCACAUACUGAUGCUGAUGCCAUUACUAAAGAAAGAUUUCCAGUACCACGCCUUGUCAUUUGUGAUCAGCAUGGUUCUCAGGCCCGCUUUCUGCUAGCAAAAUUGAAUCCUUCAGCUACUUACAAUUCAGAUGCUCCAAUUGCUCCUGGAGGCGAUAUCAUCUUCACUGAUGAUGUUAGCUUUGAGGUUUUCUUAGAUCACCUUCAGCGUCUGGCAGUUCAAUAGGAUUGAUCUUACAACAAUUUCUGAGGUUAGGUAGCACUGCCGAUUUUUGUAAACUGUUAUCUUGAUCGAUUGUACAGAAAUUCAUAUGAUUGGUCUGUCUUAAUUCUCAGCUUUUACCUUAUAUAUUGCAAAAGGCAUGUAAGUCUUCCUAUGAUCCUAAUAAUAUUGAAAAUUCGUGGCUGUGAUUACUUUCUUUGAAGUCUUACUUAAUCUAGUGUUUUCUGUUCAAAAUUACCUUCAUGUUGUAGAAGGCAAACAGAAAAAUUUUAGUUAUAAAUAUUUAAUUAAAGCUGAUCCAUGCCUGUUGUGCGGCUAUUUUUAUUUUUUCGUUUUCUUAUGGAAUAUACAAACCAAUUUAUUAUUUCGAACAUGCAAUUUUCAAACACUGUUGAGUCAUUAAGCUCUUCAGUCUAUCCUCUUCCUUCUCAUAGACUGAUUCGUUAAACACCAUGAACUAAAACUGAGUUUAGCAUUUUAUGUUUUUCGUUCUUACUAGCCUCUUGACAAUGCAUGUGACAAUCGAUGCAUGGUCUAAGUGAAGUUUGGUCAUUUCCCUUUUCUGUGUAGAUUUGCUAAAUGUUGUCCUAUAAUUAUAUGUUAUUCACCAUGUCAAUAAACUGAAGUAACAUUUAUAUUUUGAUAUUAGUGUUUUUUCCAUAACUUAAUUUUACAUCUGUCUCAUAUCGUUGCAUGGCCCUACCCUCUUUUUCCAGUGCAUCACGGAUGCAUAAUUUCUCAUCUAUGUUGCAAUUUAGUGUUUAUUUGGUUUUGAAAAUCCCAGUACCCCUAAGCUUUUUGCUAACUGCCACAUGUGUAAGUUCUUCUACUAAGCAAAUGGAGAACAGCAACGUGCGGUGACUAUGCCUUGACUUUCAAGCUGUUAUUUUGUGGAGUUUGUGGAUCGAAGAUCAGUGAUGACAG
RNA transcript from Andrographis paniculata, 3323 nucleotides. It is a transcript of the gene named protein transport protein SEC23, with no coding region annotated. The record is from RefSeq and is a predicted model, not a curated record. The transcript is spliced from 14 exons. NCBI's taxonomy places the organism in Eukaryota, Viridiplantae, Streptophyta, Magnoliopsida, Lamiales, Acanthaceae.